This 90-nucleotide transfer RNA is filed under the name Allium rude. RNAcentral's name for it is "tRNA-Ser". It matches the Rfam family "tRNA". From Rfam's summary of the family: Transfer RNA (tRNA) molecules are approximately 80 nucleotides in length. Their secondary structure includes four short double-helical elements and three loops (D, anti-codon, and T loops). Lineage: Eukaryota; Viridiplantae; Streptophyta; Magnoliopsida; Asparagales; Amaryllidaceae. The record is from RNAcentral.
GGAGAGGUGGCUGAGUGGUUGAUAGCUCCGGUCUUGAAAACCGGUAUAGUUUUGAUACUAUCGAGGGUUCGAAUCCCUGGACUCUCUCCU